GACGAACGCUGGCGGUGUGCUUAACACAUGCCAGUCGAACGGUAAGGCCCUUUCGGGGGUACACGAGUGGCGAACGGGUGAGUAACACGUGAGUAACCUGCCCUCAUCUCUGGGAUAACAGUCGGAAACGGUUGCUAAUACUGGAUAUGAGCCUGCAAGGCAUCUUGUGGGUUGGAAAGAUUUUUUGGUUGGGGAUGGACUCGCGGCCUAUCAGCUUGUUGGUGAGGUAGUGGCUCACCAAGGCUUCGACGGGUAGCCGGCCUGAGAGGGCGACCGGCCACAUUGGGACUGAGAUACGGCCCAAACUCCUACGGGAGGCAGCAGUGGGGAAUAUUGCACAAUGGACGGAAGUCUGAUGCAGCAACGCCGCGUGCGGGAUGACGGCCUUCGGGUUGUAAACCGCUUUCAAUUGUGACGAAGCUUUUUGUGACGGUAGCAGUAGAAGAAGCACCGGCUAACUACGUG
This 465-nucleotide ribosomal RNA is filed under the name uncultured bacterium. Its description in RNAcentral is "partial 16S ribosomal RNA". It matches the Rfam family "Bacterial small subunit ribosomal RNA", at positions 28 to 507 of the family's 1533-position model. The record is from RNAcentral.